Molecule: ribosomal RNA, 450 nt
Filed under: uncultured bacterium
Lineage: Bacteria
Description: partial 16S ribosomal RNA
Rfam family: Bacterial small subunit ribosomal RNA
Source: RNAcentral
GUGGGGAAUAUUGGACAAUGGGCGAAAGCCUGAUCCAGCCAUGCCGCGUGUGUGAAGAAGGUCUUCGGAUUGUAAAGCACUUUAAGUUGGGAGGAAGGGCAGUAAGUUAAUACCUUGCUGUUUUGACGUUACCGACAGAAUAAGCACCGGCUAACUUCGUGCCAGCAGCCGCGGUAAUACGAAGGGUGCAAGCGUUAAUCGGAAUUACUGGGCGUAAAGCGCGCGUAGGUGGUUUUGUAAGUUGGAGGUGAAAUCCCCGGGCUCAACCUGGGAACUGCCUCCAAAACUGCAUGACUAGAGUACGGUAGAGGGUAGUGGAAUUUCCGGUGUAGCGGUGAAAUGCGUAGAUAUAGGAAGGAACACCAGUGGCGAAGGCGACUACCUGGACUGAUACUGACACUGAGGUGCGAAAGCGUGGGGAGCAAACAGGAUUAGAUACCCGUGUAGUCC